Molecule: ribosomal RNA, 253 nt
Filed under: uncultured bacterium
Lineage: Bacteria
Description: partial 16S ribosomal RNA
Rfam family: Bacterial small subunit ribosomal RNA
Source: RNAcentral
UACGUAGGGUGCAAGCGUUAAUCGGAAUUACUGGGCGUAAAGCGUGCGCAGGCGGUUUUGUAAGUCUGUCGUGAAAGCCCCGGGCUCAACCUGGGAAUUGCAUUCAAAACUGGCCAACUAGAAUACGGGAGAGGGGGGUAGAAUUCCGCGUGUAGCAGUGAAAUGCGUAGAUAUGCGGAGGAACACCAAUGGCGAAGGCAAUCCCCUGGGCCUGUACUGACGCUCAUGCACGAAAGCGUGGGGAGCAAACAGG